This 467-nucleotide ribosomal RNA is filed under the name uncultured bacterium. RNAcentral describes it as "partial 16S ribosomal RNA". It matches the Rfam family "Bacterial small subunit ribosomal RNA", at positions 28 to 507 of the family's 1533-position model. The record is from RNAcentral.
GACGAACGCUGGCGGCGUGCUUAACACAUGCAAGUCGAACGGAAAGGCCUCUUUCGGGGGGUACUCGAGUGGCGAACGGGUGAGUAACACGUGAGUAACCUGCCCUUGACUUUGGGAUAACUUCAGGAAACUGGGGCUAAUACCGGAUAGGAGCUCCUGCUGCAUGGUGGGGGUUGGAAAGUUUCGGCGGUUGGGGAUGGACUCGCGGCUUAUCAGCUUGUUGGUGGGGUAGUGGCUUACCAAGGCUUUGACGGGUAGCCGGCCUGAGGGGGUGACCGGCCACAUUGGGACUGAGAUACGGCCCAGACUCCUACGGGGGGCAGCAGUGGGGAAUAUUGCACAAUGGGUGGAAGCCUGGUGCAGCAACGCCGUGGGCGGGAUGACGGGCUUCGGGUUGUAAACCGCGUUCGCUCAUGACGAAGCUUUGUGUGACGGUAGUGGGUAAAGAAGCACCGGCUAACUACGGG